GAUGAACGCUGGCGGCGUGCCUAAUACAUGCAAGUCGAGCGAACAGACGAGGAUCUUGCUCCUCAGACGUUAGCGGCGGACGGGUGAGUAACACGUGGAUAACCUCCCUAUAAGACUGGGAUAACUUCUGGAAACCGGAGCGAAUACCGGAUAAUAUAUUGAACCGCAUGGUUCAAUAGUGAAAGACUGGUUUGCUGUCACUGAUAGAUGUAUCCGCGCCGCAUUAGCUAGUUGGUAAGGUAACGGUUUACCAAGGCAACGAUGCGUAGCCGACCUGAGAGGGUGACCGGCGACGCUGGGACUGAGACACGGUCCAGACUCCUACGGGAGGCAGCAGUAGGGAAUCUUCCGCAAUGGGCGAAAGCCUGACGGAGCAACGCCGCGUGAGUGAUGAAGGUCUUCGGAUCGUAAAACUCUGUUAUUAGGGAAGAACAAAUGUGUAAGUAACUAUGCACGUCUUGACGGUACCUAAUCAGAAAGCCACGGCUAACUACGUG
Molecule: ribosomal RNA, 497 nt
Filed under: uncultured bacterium
Lineage: Bacteria
Description: partial 16S ribosomal RNA
Rfam family: Bacterial small subunit ribosomal RNA
Source: RNAcentral